This 495-nucleotide ribosomal RNA is filed under the name uncultured bacterium. Its description in RNAcentral is "partial 16S ribosomal RNA". It matches the Rfam family "Bacterial small subunit ribosomal RNA", at positions 28 to 507 of the family's 1533-position model. The record is from RNAcentral.
GACGAACGCUGGCGGCGUGCCUAAUACAUGCCAGUAGAACGCUGAAGGAGGAGCUUGCUUCUCUGGAUGAGUUGCGAAUGGGUGAGUAACGCGUAGGUAACCUGCCUGGUAGCGGGGGAUAACUAUUGGAAACGAUAGCUAAUACCGCAUAAUAGCAGUUGUUGCAUGACAACUGUUUGAAAGGUGCAAUUGCACCACUACCAGAUGGACCUGCGUUGUAUUAGCUAGUUGGUGGGGUAACGGCUCACCAAGGCGACGAUACAUAGCCGACCUGAGAGGGGGAUCGGCCACACUGGGACUGAGACACGGCCCAGACUCCUACGGGAGGCAGCAGUAGGGAAUCUUCGGCAAUGGACGGAAGUCUGACCGAGCAACGCCGCGUGAGUGAAGAAGGUUUUCGGAUCGUAAAGCUCUGUUGUAAGAGAAGAACGCGUGUGAGAGUGGAAAGUCCACACUGUGACGGUAUCUUACCAGAAAGGGACGGCUAACUACGUG